AUUUGGCUAUACGUUUUAAUUUUUAACUCUAAUUAUUGUGAUAUUUUUUUAUUUUUUUAUUUUUUAUUUUAAUUUUUUGUAAAAUGUUUUAUUUUAUUUUUGUUUUAGGAAAAUAUUUAAAAUUUGGUUUGUUGAACUGGAUUAGUACCCAGGUAAUCAAAAUUAAUUAAUUCGGGAGUAAAGUUUUAUUUAAACCGAAAAAAUAUUGACUGACUUUAGAUUUUUUUUUGGAACAUGUGUAUGGAGAGCCCUCCUUUGAAGUAAAUUUUUUAUGCUCAUGUAUGAUUGUUUAGUUUUUAUGUUAUUCUGUAAUGCUUUUUUUUGAUUUAAAACAGAUAUAUACUUGGCUAAUGGAUUUAUAAAUCAUGUGUUACUAUUAGUAAUUUUUUUUGGAUAAUAUUUUAUUUUUUAUUUGAAAUUGGAAAAAAAAGUAAUUAUUUUUUUAUGUUUUAAUGAAUUUAAUAAAUAGAGUGGUACAAACC
Molecule: ribosomal RNA, 482 nt
Filed under: Mansonella dunni
Lineage: Eukaryota; Metazoa; Nematoda; Chromadorea; Rhabditida; Onchocercidae
Description: partial 12S ribosomal RNA
Source: RNAcentral